UUGGAACACCAGUUCCCAUAUGAUCACCGAAAUUAAGCAACAUUGUGUCUGGUUAGUACCUAGAUGAGUAACAACUUGGGAAUACUUGGUACUGUAAG
Non-coding RNA from Acanthosepion pharaonis, 98 nucleotides. Lineage: Eukaryota; Metazoa; Mollusca; Cephalopoda; Sepiida; Sepiidae. The record is from the annotation of a GenBank genome assembly.